This 492-nucleotide ribosomal RNA is filed under the name uncultured bacterium. Its description in RNAcentral is "partial 16S ribosomal RNA". It matches the Rfam family "Bacterial small subunit ribosomal RNA", at positions 28 to 507 of the family's 1533-position model. The record is from RNAcentral.
GAUGAACGCUAGCUACAGGCUUAACACAUGCAAGUCGAGGGGAAACGACAUCGAAAGCUUGCUUUUGAUGGGCGUCGACCGGCGCACGGGUGAGUAACGCGUAUCCAACCUGCCCAUCACUUGGGAAUAACCUUGCGAAAGUAAGACUAAUACCCAAUGACAUCCCACGAAGACAUCUGAAUGGGAUUAAAGAUUUAUCGGUGAUGGAUGGGGAUGCGUCUGAUUAGCUUGUUGGCGGGGUAACGGCCCACCAAGGCAACGAUCAGUAGGGGUUCUGAGAGGAAGGUCCCCCACAUUGGAACUGAGACACGGUCCAAACUCCUACGGGAGGCAGCAGUGAGGAAGAUUGGUCAAUGGGCGAGAGCCUGAACCAGCCAAGUAGCGUGCAGGAGGACGGCCCUAUGGGUGGUAAACUGCUUUUAUAAGGGAAUAAAGUGGGUCUCGGGAGACUUUUUGCAUGUACCUUAUGAAUAAGGACCGGCUAAUUCCGUG